UGCAAGUCGAGCGGAGACAGUGAGUAGCUUGCUAUGAGCUGUUUUAGCGGCGGACGGGUGAGUAACGCGUGAGCAACCUUUCCCAGACAGGGGAAUAACACACCGAAAGGUGUACUAAUACCGCAUAAGACCACGGGAUCACAUGGUUCUGAGGUAAAAGAUUUAUCGGUUUGGGGUGGGCUCGCGUCCGAUUAGGUAGUUGGUGAGGUAACGGCCCACCAAGCCGACGAUCGGUAGCCGACCUGAGAGGGUGAUCGGCCACAUUGGGACUGAGACACGGCCCAAACUCCUACGGGAGGCAGCAGUGGGGAAUAUUGGGCAAUGGGGGAAACCCUGACCCAGCAACGCCGCGUGAAGGAAGAAGGUCUUCGGAUCGUAAACUUCUAUCCUUGGUGAAGAGGAGAAGACGGUAGCCAAGAAGGAAGCCCCGGCUAACUACGUGCCAGCAGCCGCGGUAAUACGUAGGGGGCAAGCGUUGUCCGGAAUGAUUGGGCGUAAAGGGCGUGUAGGCGGCCUGGUAAGUCUGGAGUGAAAGUCCUGUUUUUAAGAUGGGAAUUGCUUUGGAUACUGUUGGGCUAGAGUGCAGGAGAGGUAAGUGGAAUUCCCAGUGUAGCGGUGAAAUGCGUAGAGAUUGGGAGGAACACCAGUGGCGAAGGCGACUUACUGGACUGUAACUGACGCUGAGGCGCGAAAGUGUGGGGAGCAAACAGGAUUAGAUACCCUGGUAGUCCACACUGUAAACGAUGAAUGCUAGGUGUAGGGGGUAUCGACCC
Molecule: ribosomal RNA, 773 nt
Filed under: uncultured bacterium
Lineage: Bacteria
Description: bacterial SSU rRNA
Rfam family: Bacterial small subunit ribosomal RNA
Source: RNAcentral